UACGGAGGGUGCAAACGUUGCUCGGAAUCAUUGGGCGUAAAGGGCGCGUAGGCGGUGCCACAAGUCACCUGUGAAAUCUCCGGGCUUAACUCGGAGCCUGCAGGCGAAACUGUGGUGCUGGAGUGUGGGAGAGGUGCGUGGAAUUCCCGGUGUAGCGGUGAAAUGCGUAGAUAUCUGGAGGAACACCGGUGGCGAAGGCGGCAUCCUGGACCAACACUGACGCUGAUGAGCGAAAGCCAGGGGAGCAAACGGG
RNAcentral lists this ribosomal RNA (253 nucleotides) under uncultured bacterium. RNAcentral's name for it is "partial 16S ribosomal RNA". It matches the Rfam family "Bacterial small subunit ribosomal RNA", at positions 524 to 776 of the family's 1533-position model. The record is from RNAcentral.